AGAGUUUGAUCCUGGCUCAGGAUGAACGCUGGCGGCGUGCUUAACACAUGCAAGUCGAACGAUGAUGCCAGCUUGCUGGUGGAUUAGUGGCGAACGGGUGAGUAACACGUGAGUAACCUGCCCUUAACUCUGGGAUAAGCCUGGGAAACUGGGUCUAAUACCGGAUAUGACUCCUCAUCGCAUGGUGGGGGGUGGAAAGCUUUUUGUGGUUUUGGAUGGACUCGCGGCCUAUCAGCUUGUUGGUGAGGUAAUGGCUCACCAAGGCGACGACGGGUAGCCGGCCUGAGAGGGUGACCGGCCACACUGGGACUGAGACACGGCCCAGACUCCUACGGGAGGCAGCAGUGGGGAAUAUUGCACAAUGGGCGCAAGCCUGAUGCAGCGACGCCGCGUGAGGGAUGACGGCCUUCGGGUUGUAAACCUCUUUCAGUAGGGAAGAAGCGAAAGUGACGGUACCUGCAGAAGAAGCGCCGGCUAACUACGUGCCAGCAGCCGCGGUAAUACGUAGGGCGCAAGCGUUAUCCGGAAUUAUUGGGCGUAAAGAGCUCGUAGGCGGUUUGUCGCGUCUGCCGUGAAAGUCCGGGGCUCAACUCCGGAUCUGCGGUGGGUACGGGCAGACUAGAGUGAUGUAGGGGAGACUGGAAUUCCUGGUGUAGCGGUGAAAUGCGCAGAUAUCAGGAGGAACACCGAUGGCGAAGGCAGGUCUCUGGGCAUUAACUGACGCUGAGGAGCGAAAGCAUGGGGAGCGAACAGGAUUAGAUACCCUGGUAGUCCAUGCCGUAAACGUUGGGCACUAGGUGUGGGGGACAUUCCACGUUUUCCGCGCCGUAGCUAACGCAUUAAGUGCCCCGCCUGGGGAGUACGGCCGCAAGGCUAAAACUCAAAGGAAUUGACGG
This 896-nucleotide ribosomal RNA is filed under the name Arthrobacter sp. RNAcentral's name for it is "bacterial SSU rRNA". It matches the Rfam family "Bacterial small subunit ribosomal RNA", at positions 8 to 916 of the family's 1533-position model. The record is from RNAcentral. Lineage: Bacteria; Bacillati; Actinomycetota; Actinomycetes; Micrococcales; Micrococcaceae.